UGGCGUAGUGGUUAAGAGGUUGGCUGUUAACCAAAAGGUUGGUGGUUCGAAUCCACC
Molecule: transfer RNA, 57 nt
Filed under: Loxodonta africana (African savanna elephant)
Lineage: Eukaryota; Metazoa; Chordata; Mammalia; Proboscidea; Elephantidae
Rfam family: tRNA
About the family: Transfer RNA (tRNA) molecules are approximately 80 nucleotides in length.
Source: Rfam by way of RNAcentral